GGAUCCCUGAGAACCAGUGGGACACACACACAUGCACACACAUACACACACUAAAUGAAAUUUUAAAAAUUUAAGAAAUAAAGCUUCAGAUGAUGAAGACUGACCUUUCACUCUCCCGGGUCCUGUGGAAGACCAGCUGAUGUGACCAGAUUGUAUGGAUACAUUACUACGGUCCUUUUUCUGAAUUUCAAGCAGUGUGCCUAUAUAGAAUCAAUAUCAACUAAAUAGAUAUUCUCUUCUUGUAUCUGUACACCAGAGAACUUAAAAUUAGGGUUAAAAAAUGAGAAUGAUGGAUCUAAAGCUCAGGCCCAGAGUUCAAUCUCCAGCACUACAUAAACUGGAUGUGGUAAUACACGCCUGUGAUCCUACCCCAGCACCUGAGAAGCAGAGGCAGGAAGAUCAGAAGCCUAAAGCCAUGUUGGCCACAGAGCUCAGUGCUAACCUCAGAUACUUGAGACUCUGCCUUACCAAAAACAAAAUCACCUGAGAUUUAAAAAUUUAAAUUUGUAAAAAAUAAAGAAUUCUGUGCUUGUGUUUUUAUUGGGGUGUAUCAUGGGCCACCUUAAACAUGUUCAUCCAUUCUAAUCCUCUAGGGAUGCAUUCUGGAACUUUUUCUUUGUGCUGCUCUAUUGCAGCUAGCCCCAAGUUUCAGGCUUCUUCUUGAAAGAAAAUUUCCUUUUCUUCUUGAGGAUGCUGGAUUUUGCUGCCUCCCCUGGUUCAGUGGCCAUUUCCCCCUUUAGUUAAGAAAUGUCUUUCUCUUAGGAAGACUUGUAGAAAUAGUUGUGAUGGUUUGUAUAUGCUUGGUUCAGAGAGUGGCACUAUUAGGAGGUGUGGCCUUGUUGGAGUAGGUGUGUCACUAUGGACAUGAGCUUUUACACCCUAGUCUUAGCUACCUGGAAGCCAGUAUUCUGCUAGCAGCCUUCAGAUGAAGAUGUAGAACUCUCAGCUGCUCCUACACCAUGGCUGCCUACAUGCUGCCAUGCAUUGAUGAUACCUUGAUGAUACUGGACUGAACCUCUGAACCUGUAUGCCGGCUCCAAUUAAAUGUCAUCCUUAUAGGAGUUGCUUUGGUCAUAGUGUCUGUUCACAACAGUAAAACCCUAGCUAAGACAAUAGUAGUCCUUGUGUUUUUUAAUUUAGUCAGAUGAGCAUUAGCUUAUUGAUGCAAUGACAUUCUGUAAGCCACAGAGAAGUGACAGCGUAGUCAGGUUCAUGCUGUGUACUUUAGAAUAAGACAGAGCUGGCAAAAAUUCUUGAACUCUCUUAUUUUUACUUUCUUUCCAAGUGAAACAGGAAAUACAAUAGUUAUUUAAUAGAGAACAGAACUUAAAAAAAAACCUUCAAAUUCCCAGAUGAUAGAAAUGUACCCUAUGUUUAUAAAAGGUUGAAAUGCAUUUUAUAAAAAGGAGAAAUCAUUAAAGUUAACGCAAGAGUCAUCUUUGCCCUGGUCAAUUAUGGCAAAAAGUCUAAUUCAGUUCAAGUUUUUUACUAUUUACUGAUAGCAUAGUCUUACUCAUGUCUACUAUGAACAGACUUGGACAUUUUAUUUAUGCAUUGAACCUACAAGCUUCUACACUAACAAUAUUGAAAAUAAAUAGAUGUGCAAACUGAGUGUAGUGCUAAGUCCUGAACAAAGGACAAAUACUUAUAGGGUCAUUGCUGUUCUGAUUUCUGGAGUAUAUCUUCUCUCUUAUUUCCAUACUUGAGAUCCCCCAAAACUAUACUGGGUCCUUUCUUGAGUGCUAGGGAAAGAAAUCACCAAGACUCCAGAGCAAACAAGGCUGAACAACGAGUCUAGGACUAUUUGAGGAAAAUUUGGUUUCCCUAGCUCAUCACGAGCUUACAUCUUUCUCUUGAUCUUUGAAGUAAUUCUACAACCCAGUGUUUGUAGUAUACUGUGUAGUAUACUUGUGUACUAUAUGAAUAUAUCACUUGUCAAUUAAAAAGCCUAUGACCUAUGGCUUAGGAAGGAAAUAGAAGGUGGGACAUCUGGGAGGAGAAAGAAUUUGGAUAGAGCCAGGUAGGAGAUUGCUGGAAAGAUGUGUUAAGACUAACACAUGGCACCUGAGCACAGGUAACCAGCCAUGUAGCAGAAUGUAGGUUAGAAUAAAUAAAUGGGUUAAUUUAAUUUAUGAUUCUAGUUAGAUUAGAGCCCAGCAAUAUGGCCAAGGUAUUUGUAAAUAUAUUUUGAGUCUGAGUCUUAUUUCUAGGAGCAUGGGUCUGGGUGGAAGACCUGGACCAAACUUUGACAACUGUUACAAUACUCACAUGACAUAGACACAGUCAUAUAUGCAUCAGAAACAUACAUAAUCCAUAUAUUAUAAAUUAAUUACUUUUAAAAUAUAAAGAUUUACAUUGAAUUACAAAAUUCCCAUGUAGGCCUCCAAAGAACAGAACAGAAAGCUAGUUUGCCAUUUAUUUGAAAGCAGUGUUCCUUAGAAUUGUUGGGUGGGAUGUGCAUAGACAUGUGCUAGAACACCAUCUUAUUGCAUGACAUCCUUGUGGAUGAGAAAUGACCACCUAGGUCUAACAGUUUGAUAAGUAAAAAAGAAACUGAAAGUAAUCUCGACUCAAGAUAUGGGAGGUGAUCCACUUCACUUGGGACUGACCAUUUUUUUCUAAGUAAUCUCUUUAAAAUUCUCUAUUUGGGCACCACUUGGAGGGGGUAGGGCAGAACAUACCCGAGAUGAUGCCUGCCCAGUGCCACUAGGAGACACUCAGAGGUCCUGGGUGCCACUCAGAUGAGCAAGUAAGUGGAGGACAGAUGGAAGAGAAAGAGAAACAACGGUGUGUGCAUUAUGAACAGAGGCAGAGCUGGAGACUCGAAGGUGGCAAGCAACAACCUGAUGUGAGUCACCUGUGCUGAUGUCUGAGGCCAUGGUGACAUACUGGUGAGUGCUGCCCCCACCCCCCAGGACCAUAUCUGUGGACCUGCAGCAGUGGGCUUGUGGGGAUGCCUUUGGCCAAUGUCACCACCAUGGUAAAGCCAUGAUGAUGUCCCUGGUCUGGACUGCUGCCUGGGGCCAUGUUCACAUCUGAGGGCUGUGCAGGGCUGGCGAGGCCCCUCACUGUUCUGAGGGCAUGAACAAGGGAGAGUUGGCUCACCCAACAUGGGCUGCAGCACCACAUGGACCCAGUGCCCACAGAGGCCAGAAGAAGGCUUCAGAUCCUCUGAAACUGGACUUAAAGAUGAUUGUUAGUGCUGGGGACCGAACCCUGGUUCUUUGGAAGAUCAACACUGAGCCAUCUUCAUAUCUUUCUGAGCAAGCAUUAUAUAUAAUAUAGUAUAAUUAUAGUCUAAUAUAGUAAGGCACAACUAUGUCAACUGAAUUUAUUCUGAAUCCACAGAAAUUCUCACCUGGUAAGCACAUGUGUACCAGUCAUGGGGUUAUAAAAAGAAUGGAGAAUGUAGAAGUGGACUCUCAGCUAGGUGCCACUUCCUUUUUAAGAAUUUUUGCUGUAAAUUGGAAAAUUAAAAUUAUGUAUGAUUGUAUAUAUUAACAGAUUAUAAAUGUAAUUGUACAAAUUAUACAAAUUGUAUAAAUACAUACCUCAAAUAC
This 3560-nucleotide long non-coding RNA is filed under the name Mus musculus (house mouse). Its description in RNAcentral is "long non-coding RNA chr2:21224575-21228135". Lineage: Eukaryota; Metazoa; Chordata; Mammalia; Rodentia; Muridae. The record is from RNAcentral.